Long non-coding RNA from Perca flavescens (yellow perch), 211 nucleotides. RefSeq lists it as uncharacterized. The transcript has 3 exons. The record is from RefSeq and is a predicted model, not a curated record. Lineage: Eukaryota; Metazoa; Chordata; Actinopteri; Perciformes; Percidae.
CAACAGACACCUGCUCCAGCUGACCAGCUAGCAUCAGUGACUAGCCAAGACCUAUGCUACCACCCAGCAUGCUGAUGCCCAUACAUUUUAAUAAACACCUAACUCUGAUCCGGGACCCUCAUAAUGUGGAGACCUGGCUUGUGCAGUGGUCCAUCACACUGAAGAUAUCCCCUCCAUGCAAUUCUUGAUUAGGAUCCACAUCCUGUGCUUG